AAAGCCCUGCCCUGUGCGUGUAUGAAAGUGGUUGGAUUGAACCGUCACUAUGAAACCAGGGUGCCUGAGUCAGAAAGUAGCGUUGCGGCCUUAAAUGGCCUACAGCAAAACCUUCUGCGGGUACCCACUUAAAAACGCGGGUUCUUGGACAAACACUUCUCACGGCAGGGUGGGGCUUUA
This 180-nucleotide non-coding RNA is filed under the name Planctomycetes bacterium RIFCSPHIGHO2_02_FULL_52_58. Its description in RNAcentral is "6S RNA". It matches the Rfam family "6S / SsrS RNA". Rfam says of the family: E. coli 6S RNA was the first non coding RNA to be sequenced, but its function was unknown until recently. It consists of 184 nucleotides that fold into an extended hairpin structure with a large single-stranded internal bulge. The 6S RNA specifically associates with RNA polymerase holoenzyme containing the sigma70 specificity factor. The record is from RNAcentral. RNAcentral also lists the same sequence under 1 other name. Lineage: Bacteria; Pseudomonadati; Planctomycetota.